This 377-nucleotide ribosomal RNA is filed under the name uncultured bacterium. RNAcentral describes it as "bacterial SSU rRNA". It matches the Rfam family "Bacterial small subunit ribosomal RNA", at positions 28 to 407 of the family's 1533-position model. The record is from RNAcentral.
GAUGAACGCUGGCGGCGUGCUUAACACAUGCAAGUCGAACGUGAGAGGUAGCAAUAUCUUGAAAGUGGCGAACGGGUGAGUAACACGUAGGUAACCUGCCUCGGAGUGGGGAUAACAGUUAGAAAUGACUGCUAAUACCGCAUGAAUCCAUGGAUUAGGGAUAAUCGAUGGAGAAAACUCUGGUGCUUCGAGAGGGGCCUGCGGCCGAUUAGCUAGUUGGUGGGGUAAAAGGCCUACCAAGGCGACGAUCGGUAGCUGGUCUGAGAGGACGAUCAGCCACACGGGAACUGAGACACGGUCCCGACUCCUACGGGGGGCGAGCAGUGAGGAAUAUUGGGCAAUGGGCGGAAGCCUGACCCAGCAACGCCGCGUGGAGG